This 612-nucleotide long non-coding RNA is filed under the name Micromonas commoda. RNAcentral describes it as "long non-coding RNA (MCOM_LNC000294)". Lineage: Eukaryota; Viridiplantae; Chlorophyta; Mamiellophyceae; Mamiellales; Mamiellaceae. The record is from RNAcentral.
GUCAACGCGGACCAGUACACCCACGCCGACAAGAUCAUCUCCAACGCGUCGUGCACCACCAACGGCCUCGCGCCCUUCGCCAAGGUUCUCGACGACAAGUUCGGCAUCGUCAAGGGUCUCAUGACCACCACCCACUCCUACACCGGCGACCAGCGCAUCCUCGACGCGUCCCACCGCGAUCUCCGCCGCGCCCGCGCCGCCGCGCUCAACAUCGUGCCCACCUCCACCGGUGCCGCCAAGGCUGUCGCCCUCGUCCUCCCCCAGCUCAAGGGCAAGCUCAACGGCAUCGCGCUCCGCGUGCCCACCCCCAACGUCUCCGUCGUCGACAUGUGCAUCCAGACCGAGAAGAAGUGCACCGCCGAGGAGAUCAACGCCGCCUUCCGCGAGGCUGCCGAGGGCCCCAUGAAGGGCAUCCUCGCCGUCGCCGACGAGCCCCUCGUCUCCAUCGACUUCCGCUGCUCCGACGUGUCCACCACCAUCGACGCCGCGCUCACCAUGGUGAUGGGCGACGACCUCAUCAAGGUUGUGGCCUGGUACGACAACGAGUGGGGCUACUCCCAGCGCGUGGUCGACCUCGCGGAGCUCACCGCCACCAAGUGGGGCAAGUAAUCG